This 490-nucleotide ribosomal RNA is filed under the name uncultured bacterium. Its description in RNAcentral is "partial 16S ribosomal RNA". It matches the Rfam family "Bacterial small subunit ribosomal RNA", at positions 28 to 507 of the family's 1533-position model. The record is from RNAcentral.
GAUGAACGCUAGCUACAGGCUUAACACAUGCAAGUCGCGGGGCAGCAUGGGGGUUGCUUGCAAUCCCCGAUGGCGACCGGCGCACGGGUGAGUAACGCGUAUCCAACCUGCCCUUCACCACGGGAUAACCCGGCGAAAGUCGGACUAAUACCGUAUGUUGUCCAUUGACGGCAUCCGAUUUGGACGAAAGGUUUGGCGGUGAAGGCUGGGGAUGCGUCCGAUUAGCUGGACGGCGGGGUGACGGCCCACCGUGGCGACGAUCGGUAGGGGUUCUGAGAGGAAGGUCCCCCACACUGGAACUGAGACACGGUCCAGACUCCUACGGGAGGCAGCAGUGAGGAAUAUUGGUCAAUGGGCGUAAGCCUGAACCAGCCAAGUAGCGUGCAGGAUGACGGCCCUAUGGGUUGUAAACUGCUUUUAUGCGGGGAUAAAGUGGCCCACGUGUGGGUUUUUGCAGGUACCGCAUGAAUAAGGACCGGCUAAUUCCGUG